AGAGUUUGAUCCUGGCUCAGGACGAACGCUGGCGGCGUGCUUAACACAUGCAAGUCACGGGGGCCCGCAAGGGUAACCGGCGAACGGGUGCGUAACACGUGAGCAAUCUGCCGAUCUCAGGGGGAUAGCCGGCCCAACGGCCGGGUAAUACCGCAUACGCUCAUUGAGGGGAGUCCCUUAGUGAGGAAACCUCCGGGGGA
RNAcentral lists this ribosomal RNA (200 nucleotides) under uncultured bacterium. RNAcentral describes it as "partial 16S ribosomal RNA". It matches the Rfam family "Bacterial small subunit ribosomal RNA", at positions 8 to 219 of the family's 1533-position model. The record is from RNAcentral.